UGGUCAAGUUAUUAAGGGUGCAGGGCGGAUGCCUUGGCACUAGGAGCCGAUGAAGGACGUGAUAAGCUACGAUAAGCUUCGGGGAGUUGCACGUAAACUUUGAUCCGAAGAUUUCCGAAUGAGGAAACUCACUUAGAGUAAUGUCUAAGUAUCAUUAAGUGAAUACAUAGCUUAAUGAGGGGAACUCAGGG
This 191-nucleotide ribosomal RNA is filed under the name Clostridioides difficile. RNAcentral describes it as "partial 23S ribosomal RNA". It matches the Rfam family "Bacterial large subunit ribosomal RNA", at positions 1 to 190 of the family's 2925-position model. Lineage: Bacteria; Bacillati; Bacillota; Clostridia; Peptostreptococcales; Peptostreptococcaceae. The record is from RNAcentral.